GUGGGGAAUAUUGGACAAUGGGCGCAAGCCUGAUCCAGCCAUACCGCGUGGGUGAAGAAGGCCUUCGGGUUGUAAAGCCCUUUUGUUGGGAAAGAAAUCCUGUCGAUUAAUACUCGGUGGGGAUGACGGUACCCAAAGAAUAAGCACCGGCUAACUUCGUGCCAGCAGCCGCGGUAAUACGAAGGGUGCAAGCGUUACUCGGAAUUACUGGGCGUAAAGCGUGCGUAGGUGGUGGUUUAAGUCUGCUGUGAAAGCCCUGGGCUCAACCUGGGAAUUGCAGUGGUUAAUGGAGCACUAGAGUGUGGUAGAGGGAGGAGGAAUUUCUGGUGUAGCAGUGAAAUGCGUAGAGAUCAGAAGGAACAUCCGUGGCGAAGGCGGCAUCCUGGGCCAACACUGACACUGAGGCACGAAAGCGUGGGGAGCAAACAGGAUUAGAUACCCCAGUAGUCC
RNAcentral lists this ribosomal RNA (450 nucleotides) under uncultured bacterium. RNAcentral describes it as "partial 16S ribosomal RNA". It matches the Rfam family "Bacterial small subunit ribosomal RNA", at positions 354 to 796 of the family's 1533-position model. The record is from RNAcentral.